UUUGCAUCCCUGUCUCUGCGUGUCUUUUCUCUUGUUUGCAUCCCUGUCUCUGCGUCUUUCCUCUUGUUUGCAUCCCUGUCUCUGCGUGUCUUUUCUCUUCUCUAGGGAUUAAAUUAUUUUUUAUAUAAAGCUAUGAUCUCCCAGCAGUCCUUCUGUUGGAACCACACCCUCCCCUCGGUCCAUUCCUCUCAUGGGACUGGCGGCCAACCAACAGCAGCACGGCUGUUAUAUAGCGCCUUUCAAGAGCAGCUCCUCUCACGAGAGCCGAACACAUUUUAGCAGAGCAAAUGAAAAUGAAUAAUUAAAAAUGAAGCAAAACAAGUUAUUCCUUUAGUGAGAUACAAACACCUCAUGGCUUCCCAAUGACAUCGAGGUCCUUCCACCACUACCACCCCUGCCAUCACAUUCAGCUUCUUUAAUGCUGGGGGGGGAAAGGAGGGCGACAGAGUAAUAGUAAAAAUAUUGUUUUUAUUUGUCAUUGGGAGGGGGGGGACGGGGACGACACAAUACAAAAAACAGCAGAGAAGGUCCCGUGUAGAAAUCACACGCUCAGUAAAGGCUCAGUAAUGGUUAUUAUUGCAGGUUUCAUUUCAAAAAGUGUAGCUAGACAAAACUCAGCCAGCUAAAUGAAGUAUUGAAUACAAUAAAAAAAAAAAAAUCAGCACACACUCACACACACACACACUCACUCACACUCACUCACACGCGCACACUCACACAACACUCGAAUACAAACAGGACACUUCAAAUCCAGCAUUAAAAGAACAUUAAUAAUAAUAAUACAUUACAAAAAAGUUAUAUAUAUAUCUCACACAAGAAACAGCUCCACAGAUGUGUGGGUAUUAACAGGAACGGUACAAAAGCACAAAUAAACAUCAAAAGCAAUGCGUAGGAAUGCUUAAACUUCACACCUGCAGGUUGCUUGGAUACCGUACAAAACAUUUAUAAAAAAAACAAACACAAAAAAACACACAGACCUGUAGAAACACUUUGAUGCGUUUAUCCUUUUUGGUGGCUGUACCUUAUUUUGGUUAAAUUGAAGAUGUACAGAGACAUUUCUAUACUGUCUAGAACUUGUUUGCGCACUAAUGAAUGAGCAGUCCUCCAGACACACUAAACAUGCAAGACUGAGGGGAGUGUACAGCAGCAGGGCUGAAUCAGUCCACACAGAGGAGAAGAAGGGGUCUUCUUGUCACUGGUGAAUAUACUGUUGGAUCAGAAGGAAAUGCAUGUGAAGGCCAGUGGUGUAACACAGCUGUGCUUUGGGCAGGUACGCUGAAUCCAGUUCUAGUUUUGCCUUCCUGCUGACAGCCACCAGGAGCACACCGCAGGUUAUACGAGUCUAAAGAGCGGCCCAGCUGGCUCUCAAAUAACCAGCAGCUUUGAGAAGCACAGAGUGCUUGAAAACAGCAUUUAAAAAGCUGCUUUGAGAAGCACAGAGUGCUUGAAAACAGCAUUUAAAAAGCUGCUUUGAGAAGCACAGAGUGCUUGAAAACAGCAUUUAAAAAGCUGCUUUGCUCCUCACUGUGCUUCUCAGCUUGUUACUUUGAGUUCCUCUGCCCACACGCUGCCUCCAGGACUUCCUUCCAGUCGAAAAGCUAAAGCUUUGUUCUUAUUAUUCUCUACUUCAUUCUAUUCAAAUAGUGCAGGCUUUUUCCUUUUAGACACAAUGCAUGAAUAUGUGUUUACACACACAGUACAGUACAUGAGGUAGCCCUAGUGUUACUGGUCAGAACAACCUAGUUGUAUUUCUUGGUAACUGGCUGCUGGCAAGCCCUGAUGUUCUCUGCUUAAUGUCCACAUUAAAAGAAAUGCUUCAGACCCUGGGAAUCGGCAGAAUCUGUUUCAGUUUAUCAUCAUCAUAUAAUGAUAUGUGUUCUUAAACAUUACUGGUUUCCAAUACAGUAAUACAAAACAAACAGAAACACAGACAGUCAGCACAGCCCCUAAGCAGAUCCAGCAGUAGAUACCACUGUGCUGUUCACAGGAUUAAGUAUUAUUGGAACAGAAUACAGUCCAGGCAUCAGGGUUCCAGGACAGAGGUCUCCGUGGUUACGAUCCACAGCAGCCAGCAGGCAUUAGCACGUGGCUGUUUAACUGGUGCAUCCUGUACUCUCUGGUAUAAGAAGCUCAGUGUAAACUGGGAGUGGGUUAGAUCUCGUGGAAGCUCAUUCUGCCACCAAAAAAAAACAACAAACCAGCUAAUCUCGGAAUUCUGACUUGAAGAAUCAGAACUCUAGGUUAGAGUCUCAGAAUUCGGAUUGGCUCAGGUCAGAAUUCUGACUUGAAGAAUCAGAACUCCGGGUUAGAGUCUCAGAAUUCGGAUUGGCUCAGGUCAGAAUUCUGACUUGAAGAAUCAGAACUCCGGGUUAGAGUCUCAGAAUUCGGAUUGGCUCAGGUCAGAAUUCUGACUUGAAGAGGUUUUUUUUGGUGGUGGAAUGGGCUUCCAUAAGACCAAGAGCAAUUUGGAGCAUGCAAAAAAAAGUUUAAAAUAAUACAAUUAUUGAAAAUAUUUGAGAUCUAACUGGCUUGGAGUUUGCAGCGCUUCGAUACAACAGCAC
Molecule: long non-coding RNA, 2561 nt
Organism: Polyodon spathula (Mississippi paddlefish)
Lineage: Eukaryota; Metazoa; Chordata; Actinopteri; Acipenseriformes; Polyodontidae
Exons: 2
Source: RefSeq, a predicted model, not a curated record